Molecule: ribosomal RNA, 467 nt
Filed under: uncultured bacterium
Lineage: Bacteria
Description: partial 16S ribosomal RNA
Rfam family: Bacterial small subunit ribosomal RNA
Source: RNAcentral
GAUGAACGCUGGCGGCGCGCCUAACACAUGCAAGUCGAACGAUUAAAGCACCUUCGGGUGUGUAUAAAGUGGCGAACGGCUGAGUAACACGUGGGCAACCUGCCCCUUUCAUUGGGAUAGCCACGGGAAACCGUGGAUAAUACCGAAUACUUCGAGACUUCCGCAUGGAAGACUCGAGAAAGCUCCGGCGGAGAGGGAUGGGCCCGCGGGCUGUUAGCUUGUUGGUGGGGUAACGGCCUACCAAGGCAAUGAUGGGUAGCUGGGUGGAGAGGCCGACCGGCGCAAGGGGGAUGAGGAACAGCCCAGGCCCCCUCGGGGAGCAGCGAGGGGGGAAGGUGGAAAAAGGGCGGGAGGCCUGAUCAAGCACCGCGGGGGCAGGGAGGAAGGCCUGCGGUUUGAAACCGGCAUCAGCCGGGGACGAAGGGGGAGUGACGGGACUUGCAAAAGAAGCACCGGCUAACUACGUG